CAAACUAAGUCUUAGGGACAAUAUUAUUUACAAUAAUAUUUUGAUUUGUGCAAUUCAGUCUGGUUUGA
Molecule: transfer RNA, 68 nt
Filed under: Cryptorhamphus sp.
Lineage: Eukaryota; Metazoa; Arthropoda; Insecta; Hemiptera; Cryptorhamphidae
Description: tRNA-Val
Source: RNAcentral